RNAcentral lists this ribosomal RNA (492 nucleotides) under uncultured bacterium. RNAcentral describes it as "partial 16S ribosomal RNA". It matches the Rfam family "Bacterial small subunit ribosomal RNA", at positions 28 to 507 of the family's 1533-position model. The record is from RNAcentral.
GAUGAACGCUAGCUACAGGCUUAACACAUGCAAGUCGAGGGGAAACGACAUCGAAAGCUUGCUUUUGAUGGGCGUCGACCGGCGCACGGGUGAGUAACGCGUAUCCAACCUGCCCAUCACUUGGGAAUAACCUUGCGAAAGUAAGACUAAUACCCAAUGACAUCCCACGAAGACAUCUGAAUGGGAUUAAAGAUUUAUCGGUGAUGGAUGGGGAUGCGUCUGAUUAGCUUGUUGGCGGGGUAACGGCCCACCAAGGCAACGAUCAGUAGGGGUUCUGAGAGGAAGGUCCCCCACAUUGGAACUGAGACACGGUCCACACUCCUACGGGAGGCAGCAGUGAGGAAUAUUGGUCAAUGGGCGAGAGCCUGAACCAGCCAAGUAGCGUGCAGGAUGACGGCCCUAUGGGUUGUAAACUGCUUUUAUAAGGGAAUAAAGUGGGUCUCGUGAGACUUUUUGCAUGUACCUUAUGAAUAAGGACCGGCUAAUUCCGUG